This 77-nucleotide ribosomal RNA is filed under the name Paenibacillus xylanexedens. RNAcentral describes it as "partial 16S ribosomal RNA". It matches the Rfam family "Bacterial small subunit ribosomal RNA", at positions 1 to 77 of the family's 1533-position model. Lineage: Bacteria; Bacillati; Bacillota; Bacilli; Caryophanales; Paenibacillaceae. The record is from RNAcentral.
UUAUUGGAGAGUUUGAUCCUGGCUCAGGACGAACGCUGGCGGCAUGCCUAAUACAUGCAAGUCGAGCGGAGUGGAUA